CAGUAGCCACGGGAAUACGAAGGGGGCUAGCGUUGUUCGGAAUUACUGGGCGUAAAGCGCACGUAGGCGGAUAUUUAAGUCAGGGGUGAAAUCCCGCAGCUCAACUGCGGAACUGCCUUUGAUACUGGGUAUCUUGAGUAUGGAAGAGGUUAGUGGAAUUGCGAGUGUAGAGGUGAAAUUCGUAGAUAUUCGCAGGAACACCAGUGGCGAAGGCGGCUAACUGGUCCAUAACUGACGCUGAGGUGCGAAAGCGUGGGGAGCAAACAGGAUUAGAUACCCGGGUAGUCCCUGUCUCUUAUUC
Molecule: ribosomal RNA, 301 nt
Filed under: uncultured bacterium
Lineage: Bacteria
Description: partial 16S ribosomal RNA
Rfam family: Bacterial small subunit ribosomal RNA
Source: RNAcentral